This is a long non-coding RNA of Pseudophryne corroboree (corroboree frog), 493 nucleotides long. RefSeq lists it as uncharacterized. The record is from RefSeq and is a predicted model, not a curated record. The transcript is spliced from 4 exons. NCBI's taxonomy places the organism in Eukaryota, Metazoa, Chordata, Amphibia, Anura, Myobatrachidae.
AUGAUGAUUACUCCUUUGCUUCCUUUCAUCUCGGCUGUAGUCUGUACUGAGAAAGGGAAUUAGUUAGCUUCCCGACGAACGGGAUCAAGGUCGGUCGAUAUACUGUACUGACGCCGGGAUUCCGAGGAACUGAACUGCCAGCAACUCCUCCAUCAUCCUCUGAGACCAAAAAGCAUGAACUGAACUGCCAGCAACUCCUCCAUCAUUCUCUGAGACCAAAAAGCAAAGGGAGGACACAAACCCGGCAUCGAUAUACCGACGCAGGGCAGAAUGCCGGUUACUGACAACUGGCAUCCCCGAUCGUUCGGACAGCGGGACUCGCUGCUAUCCUGUUGCGGGGUGCGUGCGUGUGUGUUAGGUUUAGGCAGUAGAAGUGGGGUUAGGGUGCUGCCACAGGAAGGUUAAGGUUAGGGACCAGGGACGGAAGGUUAGGGUUAGGCACAUAGAAGGGGAGGUAAAGAUUAGGUACCCAGCAGGGAUGGUUAGGUUUAGG